AGACGUUGAAGGAGGAGAGGGAGGCGGAGGCGACGCUGAAGUACGGGAGGCGAGGGCGGAGGACGAGCCAGACGAUGAAGAUGAUGGUGCCCACGAUAAUGAAGAAGGCGAUCAUGGCGGCCAGGAAACGACGGAGGAAGGUGGCGCGUGGGGAAGAGUAAGGGGGCGCGUGGUAGGGGUGGGCUGCAUUGGGGUUGUAGUAAGGGGGCGGCGGAGCAUUGUAGGGGUAGGCAGUGGCGGUGGAGUGCGGCUGGGGGUAUCCUGGUGCAGGAUAGCCUGUAACUGGCCUAUGCGGAUCUUCCAUUGGAAGGGGCUAAAAAGUAAUAAGAAUUCAGAGCCAAG
Molecule: long non-coding RNA, 342 nt
Filed under: Vitis vinifera (wine grape)
Lineage: Eukaryota; Viridiplantae; Streptophyta; Magnoliopsida; Vitales; Vitaceae
Description: long non-coding RNA (VVIN_LNC001992)
Source: RNAcentral